This 505-nucleotide ribosomal RNA is filed under the name uncultured bacterium. RNAcentral describes it as "bacterial SSU rRNA". It matches the Rfam family "Bacterial small subunit ribosomal RNA", at positions 501 to 1008 of the family's 1533-position model. The record is from RNAcentral.
CUACGUGCCAGCAGCCGCGGUAAUACGGAAGGUCCAGGCGUUAUCCAGAUUUAUUGGGUUUAAAGGGAGCGUAGGCUGGAGAUUAAGUGUGUUGUGAAAUGUAGACGCUCAACGUCUGAAUUGCAGCGCAUACUGGUUUCCUUGAGUACGCACAACGUUGGCGGAAUUCGUCGUGUAGCGGUGAAAUGCUUAGAUAUGACGAAGAACUCCGAUUGCGAAGGCAGCUGACGGGAGCGCAACUGACGCUUAAGCUCGAAGGUGCGGGUAUCAAACAGGAUUAGAUACCCUGGUAGUCCGCACAGUAAACGAUGGAUGCCCGCUGUUGGUACCUGGUAUCAGCGGCUAAGCGAAAGCAUUAAGCAUCCCACCUGGGGAGUACGCCGGCAACGGUGAAACUCAAAGGAAUUGACGGGGGCCCGCACAAGCGGAGGAACAUGUGGUUUAAUUCGAUGAUACGCGAGGAACCUUACCCGGGCUUGAAUUGCAGAGGAAGGAUUUAGAGAUA